RNAcentral lists this ribosomal RNA (1389 nucleotides) under Salmonella enterica subsp. enterica serovar Enteritidis. Its description in RNAcentral is "partial 23S ribosomal RNA". It matches the Rfam family "Bacterial large subunit ribosomal RNA", at positions 1428 to 2802 of the family's 2925-position model. The record is from RNAcentral. Lineage: Bacteria; Pseudomonadati; Pseudomonadota; Gammaproteobacteria; Enterobacterales; Enterobacteriaceae.
GGUUAAUAUUCCCGUACUUGGUGUUACUGCGAAGGGGGGACGGAGAAGGCUAUGUUGGCCGGGCGACGGUUGUCCCGGUUUAAGCGUGUAGGCUGGUUUUCCAGGCAAAUCCGGAAAAUCAAGGCUGAGGCGUGAUGACGAGGCACUACGGUGCUGAAGCAACAAAUGCCCUGCUUCCAGGAAAAGCCUCUAAGCAUCAGGUAACAUCAAAUCGUACCCCAAACCGACACAGGUGGUCAGGUAGAGAAUACCAAGGCGCUUGAGAGAACUCGGGUGAAGGAACUAGGCAAAAUGGUGCCGUAACUUCGGGAGAAGGCACGCUGACACGUAGGUGAAGUGAUUUACUCAUGGAGCUGAAGUCAGUCGAAGAUACCAGCUGGCUGCAACUGUUUAUUAAAAACACAGCACUGUGCAAACACGAAAGUGGACGUAUACGGUGUGACGCCUGCCCGGUGCCGGAAGGUUAAUUGAUGGGGUCAGCGCAAGCGAAGCUCCUGAUCGAAGCCCCGGUAAACGGCGGCCGUAACUAUAACGGUCCUAAGGUAGCGAAAUUCCUUGUCGGGUAAGUUCCGACCUGCACGAAUGGCGUAAUGAUGGCCAGGCUGUCUCCACCCGAGACUCAGUGAAAUUGAACUCGCUGUGAAGAUGCAGUGUACCCGCGGCAAGACGGAAAGACCCCGUGAACCUUUACUAUAGCUUGACACUGAACAUUGAGCCUUGAUGUGUAGGAUAGGUGGGAGGCUUUGAAGUGUGGACGCCAGUCUGCAUGGAGCCGACCUUGAAAUACCACCCUUUAAUGUUUGAUGUUCUAACGUGGACCCGUUACCCGGGUUGCGGACAGUGUCUGGUGGGUAGUUUGACUGGGGCGGUCUCCUCCUAAAGAGUAACGGAGGAGCACGAAGGUUGGCUAAUCCUGGUCGGACAUCAGGAGGUUAGUGCAAUGGCAUAAGCCAGCUUGACUGCGAGCGUGACGGCGCGAGCAGGUGCGAAAGCAGGUCAUAGUGAUCCGGUGGUUCUGAAUGGAAGGGCCAUCGCUCAACGGAUAAAAGGUACUCCGGGGAUAACAGGCUGAUACCGCCCAAGAGUUCAUAUCGACGGCGGUGUUUGGCACCUCGAUGUCGGCUCAUCACAUCCUGGGGCUGAAGUAGGUCCCAAGGGUAUGGCUGUUCGCCAUUUAAAGUGGUACGCGAGCUGGGUUUAGAACGUCGUGAGACAGUUCGGUCCCUAUCUGCCGUGGGCGCUGGAGAACUGAGGGGGGCUGCUCCUAGUACGAGAGGACCGGAGUGGACGCAUCACUGGUGUUCGGGUUGUCAUGCCAAUGGCACUGCCCGGUAGCUAAAUGCGGAAGAGAUAAGUGCUGAAAGCAUCUAAGCACGAAACUUGCCCCGA